This 244-nucleotide long non-coding RNA is filed under the name Populus trichocarpa (black cottonwood). Its description in RNAcentral is "long non-coding RNA (PTRI_LNC003967)". The record is from RNAcentral. Lineage: Eukaryota; Viridiplantae; Streptophyta; Magnoliopsida; Malpighiales; Salicaceae.
GAGUUCAUAGUUGUCGGAUCGGUCCGGAAAUUGAUUUAAUUUAGAAAUUAAUAUAGAAAAGAGUUUUGAGUAAUUAUAUUAUCUUUAACGGAGGCAAACUAAAUUAAUAUUUUUAUUAAAAAAAUAAUUUUUUUAAAAAAAACUUUUUAGACUUUUGUAUAAAUUAAUCAAAUUAAAUUAACAAGAUUUUACUAAAUUAAUAAUUUAUUAAAUUUAACUUAAAAUCUAAUUUAAUAUCACAGCC